RNAcentral lists this ribosomal RNA (253 nucleotides) under uncultured bacterium. RNAcentral describes it as "partial 16S ribosomal RNA". It matches the Rfam family "Bacterial small subunit ribosomal RNA", at positions 524 to 776 of the family's 1533-position model. The record is from RNAcentral.
UACGUAGGGGGCAAGCGUUGUCCGGAAUUAUUGGGCGUAAAGAGCGUUUAGGCGGUCCGGUAAGUCCGCUGUGAAAGUCCAGGGCUCAACCCUGGAAUGCCGGUGGAUACUGCCGGGCUAGAGUCCGGAAGAGGCGAGUGGAAUUCCUGGUGUAGCGGUGAAAUGCGCAGAUAUCAGGAGGAACACCGAUGGCGAAGGCAGCUCGCUGGGACGGUACUGACGCUGAGGCGCGAAAGCGUGGGGAGCGAACAGG